Molecule: ribosomal RNA, 433 nt
Filed under: uncultured bacterium
Lineage: Bacteria
Description: partial 16S ribosomal RNA
Rfam family: Bacterial small subunit ribosomal RNA
Source: RNAcentral
AACGAACGCUGGCGGCAUGCCUAACACAUGCAAGUCGAACGAUCCCUUCGGGGUUAGUGGCGCACGGGUGCGUAACGCGUGGGAACCUGCCCUUAGGUUCGGAAUAACUCAGAGAAAUUUGAGCUAAUACCGGAUAAUGUCUUCAGACCAAAGAUUUAUCGCCUUUGGAUGGGCCCGCGUUGGAUUAGCUAGUUGGUGGGGUAAAGGCCUACCAAGGCGACGAUCCAUAGCUGGUCUGAGAGGAUGAUCAGCCACACUGGGACUGAGACACGGCCCAGACUCCUACGGGAGGCAGCAGUGGGGAAUAUUGGACAAUGGGCGAAAGCCUGAUCCAGCAAUGCCGCGUGAGUGAUGAAGGCCUUAGGGUUGUAAAUCUCUUUUACCCGGGAUGAUAAUGACAGUACCGGGAGAAUAAGCCCCGGCUAACUCCGUG